GGUUCGAUUAUGGCUCAGAUUGAACGCUGGCGGGAUGCUUUACACAUGCAAGUCGAACGGCAGCACGGACUUCGGUCUGGUGGCGAGGCAAUUGGGUGAGUAAUGUAUCGGAACGUGCCUAGUAGCGGGGAUAACUACGCGAAAGCGUAGCCAAUACCGCAGCACACCCUUCGGGGAAAGCGGGGACCUUUCGCCUCGCACUAUUAGAGCGGCCGAUAUCGGAUUAGCUAGUUGGUGGGGUAACGGCUCACCAAGGCGACGAUCCGUAGCUGGUUUGAGAGGACGACCAGCCACACUGGGACUGAGACACGGCCCAGACUCCUACGGGAGGCAGUGGGGAAUUUUGACAAUGGGGGAAACCCCGAUCCAGCCAGCUCGCGUGUGCGAUGAAGGCCUUCGGGUUGUAAAGCACUUUUGGUGUAGGAAAGAAACGGUACUCGGGAUAAUACCCCGUGAAUUGAUAAAAUUCGCAAUGGGGCAACCCGCUAACACAAGCGCAAGCUUCGUAAUACGAAAAGGCCAAUCGGAAUUACUGGGCGUAAAAGCGUGCGCAGGCGGUUCGGAAAGAAAGAUGUGAAAUCCCAGAGCUUAACUUUGGAACUGCAUUUUUAACUACCGAGCUAGAGUGUGCCGAGGGAGUGUGACCACAUGGCAGUGAAAUGCGUAGAUAUGCGGAGGAACACCGAUGGCGAAGGCAGCCUCCUGGGAUAACACUGACGCUCAUGCACGAAAGCGUGGGGAGCAAACAGGAUUAGAUACCCUGGUAGUCCACGCCCUAAACGAUGUCAACUAGCUUUCGUUGGGGCCUUCGGGCCUUGGUAGCGCAGCUAACGCAAGUGGUUGACCGCCUGGGGAGUACGGUCGCAAGAUUAAAACUCAAAGGAAUUGACGGGGACUCGCACAAGCGGUGGAUGAUGGGGAUUAAUCUGAUGCAACGCGAAAAACCUUACCUACCCUUUAUGACAUGCUCAACCGAAGAGAUUUGGGAGUGCCUGCAGAGAACCGGAACACAGGUGCUGCAUGGCUGUCGUCGGGCUGUGUCGUGAGAUGUUGGGUUAAGUCCCAAUGAGUGCAACUCGGCCAGUUAGUUGCUACGAAAGGGCACUCUAAUGAGACUGCUGAUGACAAACCGGAGGAAGGUGGGGAUGACGUCAAGUCCUCAUGGCCCUUAUGGGUAGGGCUUCGACACGUCAUACAAUGGUCGGGACAGAGGGUCGCCAACCCGCGAGGGGGGAGCCAAUCCCAGAAACCCGAUCAACUGGAUCGCAGUCUGCAACUCGACUGCGUGAAGUCGGAAUCGCUGGGGUAAUCGCGGAUCAGCAUGCCGCGUGAAUACGCUCCCGGGUCUGGCAGGUACACACCGCCCGUCACACCAUGGAGUGGGUUUUACCAGAAGUAGUUAGCCUAACCGUAAGGAGGGCGAUUACCACGGUAGGAUUCAUGACUGGGGUGAAGCGUAACAAGGUAG
RNAcentral lists this ribosomal RNA (1468 nucleotides) under uncultured Bordetella sp. RNAcentral describes it as "partial 16S-23S ribosomal RNA intergenic spacer". It matches the Rfam family "Bacterial small subunit ribosomal RNA". Lineage: Bacteria; Pseudomonadati; Pseudomonadota; Betaproteobacteria; Burkholderiales; Alcaligenaceae. The record is from RNAcentral.